RNAcentral lists this transfer RNA (68 nucleotides) under Uzeldikra longiprocessa. RNAcentral's name for it is "tRNA-Leu". The record is from RNAcentral. Lineage: Eukaryota; Metazoa; Arthropoda; Insecta; Hemiptera; Cicadellidae.
UUUAGUGUGGCAGAAUUUUAAUGCAAUGAGCUUAAAAUUCAUGUAUAAAUACUUAUAUUUCACUAAAA